ACCCACUAAUCAAUGACUCAAGGGGGCACUAUCUGGGAAACGCAUACUCCGUGAGAGAAGCAGGACCGACACACACAGAGGCAUUGCGGGGCUCAGAGAAGAACAGUGUAGAAACCCGCGCUGUGUGAAGCGAGACUCUUCACCAUGGAGUCCACCGCCUCCUGCACCCGGAGCUGCUGCAGCUCCGCCAUGGCGACCCCGCGCUGCCCCGCGGCGCUCCGCGCCGGCGCCCAUAUGGAAUCGGCGUACGUGCCCGCCCCCUCACCGCCCUUCGCCGUCCUUCGCCGCCCGCCCUUCCAGGGCCCACGCCCCACCUGGCGGCCGAACGGAGCCACUGCAUGCUGGUGUCCGCGAGCCCACCGCCCUCCUCCCGCUUGGGAACCGGUCACCGGGACACCUGCCCUGCGGAUGCUGCUUGCCUUUCCUCUUCCCCUCCCUUGAUCCCUCCCUUUACAUUCUUUAAAAUUAUUUAAUGUAAUUUACAUACAGAUAAAUGCCCAGAUCUUA
Symphalangus syndactylus (siamang) is the source of this 507-nucleotide long non-coding RNA. RefSeq lists it as uncharacterized. The record is from RefSeq and is a predicted model, not a curated record. Lineage: Eukaryota; Metazoa; Chordata; Mammalia; Primates; Hylobatidae.